RNAcentral lists this small RNA (36 nucleotides) under Bombyx mori (domestic silkworm). Its description in RNAcentral is "ovarian small RNA-26063". Lineage: Eukaryota; Metazoa; Arthropoda; Insecta; Lepidoptera; Bombycidae. The record is from RNAcentral.
UCAUCCUGGCAGUGUUUGCCGAUCGCUCGACCGCAC